This 497-nucleotide ribosomal RNA is filed under the name uncultured bacterium. RNAcentral describes it as "partial 16S ribosomal RNA". It matches the Rfam family "Bacterial small subunit ribosomal RNA", at positions 28 to 507 of the family's 1533-position model. The record is from RNAcentral.
GAUGAACGCUGGCGGCGUGCCUAAUACAUGCAAGUCGAGCGAACGGACGAGAAGCUUGUUUCUCUGAUGUUUGCGGAGGACGGGUGAGUCACACGUGGAUAACCUACCUAUCAGACUGGGAUAACCUCGGGAAACCGGAGCUAAUACCGGAUAAUAUUUUGCACCGCAUGGUUCAAAAGUGAAAGACGGUCUUGCUGGCACUUAUAGAUGGAUCCGCGCUGCAUUAGCUAGUUGGUAAGGUAACGGCUUACCAAGGCAACGAUGCAUAGACGACCGGUGAGGGUGAUCGGCCACACGAGAGCGUGAACAGGGUCCAGGCUACUGCGGUAGGCACCAGAAUGGAAUCGUCCGCAGUAGUCGAGAGCCUUGCGAAACAGCGGGACGUGAGUUGUAGAGAUCUUCGGAGCGUAAAACUCUGUUAUUAGUGAAAAACAGAUGUGGAAGGAACUGAACACAUCUUGACGGUACCGAAUCAAAAAGCAACGGCUAACUACGUG